Molecule: transfer RNA, 70 nt
Filed under: Tanytarsus formosanus
Lineage: Eukaryota; Metazoa; Arthropoda; Insecta; Diptera; Chironomidae
Also listed under: 1 other name
Description: tRNA-Met
Rfam family: tRNA
About the family: Transfer RNA (tRNA) molecules are approximately 80 nucleotides in length. Their secondary structure includes four short double-helical elements and three loops (D, anti-codon, and T loops).
Source: RNAcentral
AAAAAGAUAAGCUAAUUUAAGCUAUUAGGUUCAUACCCUACUUAUAAAGGUUUUAAUCCUUUUCUUUUUA